Molecule: long non-coding RNA, 487 nt
Organism: Lutra lutra (Eurasian river otter)
Lineage: Eukaryota; Metazoa; Chordata; Mammalia; Carnivora; Mustelidae
Exons: 4
Source: RefSeq, a predicted model, not a curated record
UGAGAAUGGACAGGGCUGACUAGUUGAAGGAAUUAAUAUCUGGUGUCUCUAGGCCCCCUCUGGCUGUGUGACCAUGGGUUCAAUUUGGGAGUCAUGGUAGAUAGACACGGCUGCCUGGGCCCACCUCAUCCUCCAAACUCUGGGACAGCCCCUGGCCCACUGUCGGUGAUGAGAGAUUUCAGAAGAGGAGUUUGUUGGUGGUAUGGAUUUUUUCUCUGCCUGUGAGUGCUUUGCAUGGUAAGAAGCAGGAAUAAGACUGGAAGAAAGCAUGACUAGACAUACCCAGAAAAGUGCAUUCUGGAAGGAGAACUCCCCUGUUUGAGAGCUUUGGCAAUCCUAAAUAAACAAAAAUGCAACAUUUAAAAAAACAGCUCAUCUGGUGUUUCAUGUCUCAUCUGCUGCUCAGUUGGUCUGAGAAUGUGGCCCAAAAGAUGGCUUAGAUGAUCUAUGACCAAGUAAUCCAACCCCCGACAAAAGAUUCAUUAAU